GUGAAUCAUCGAAUCUUUGAACGCACAUUGCGCCCGCCGGCAUCCCGGCGGGCAUGCCUGUUCGAGCGUCAUUUCAACCCUCAGGCCCCGCCUGGUGUUGGGGCUCCUGCGCACCGCAGGCCCUCAAAGGCAGCGGCGGGUGCGCCUACGAACCGAACGCAGUAGUUUCUUCUCGUUCUGGUCUUCGCGGGCGUGCUCCGGCCGUAAAACCCCUUAUACUCCAAUGGUUGACCUCGGAUCAGGUAGGAAUACCCGCUGAACUUAAGCAUAUCAAUAAGCGGAGGA
This 285-nucleotide unclassified non-coding RNA is filed under the name Thozetella sp. RNAcentral's name for it is "partial contains 5.8S ribosomal RNA, internal transcribed spacer 2, and large subunit ribosomal RNA". The stretch from base 1 to 71 matches the Rfam family "5.8S ribosomal RNA", at positions 84 to 154 of the family's 154-position model. The record is from RNAcentral. Lineage: Eukaryota; Fungi; Ascomycota; Sordariomycetes; Chaetosphaeriales; Chaetosphaeriaceae.